RNAcentral lists this Y RNA (110 nucleotides) under Microcebus murinus (gray mouse lemur). Its description in RNAcentral is "Y RNA (ENSMICG00000021050.3)". It matches the Rfam family "Y RNA". From Rfam's summary of the family: Y RNAs are components of the Ro ribonucleoprotein particle (Ro RNP), in association with Ro60 and La proteins. The Y RNAs and Ro60 and La proteins are well conserved, but the function of the Ro RNP is not known. Lineage: Eukaryota; Metazoa; Chordata; Mammalia; Primates; Cheirogaleidae. The record is from Rfam by way of RNAcentral.
AGCUAGUCCAAUGGUAGUGAGUUAUCAGAACUUACUAACAUUAGUGGCACCAAAUUUAGCAGCCCCCCACUAUUUAGCAGCCCCCUACUGCUAAAUUUGACUGGCUUUAA